CCUGGUGGCUCAGGUGGUAAAGCGUCUGUCUACAAUGCAGGAGACCCAGGUUCGAUCCCUGGGUCAGGA
This 69-nucleotide transfer RNA is filed under the name Capra hircus (goat). It matches the Rfam family "tRNA". From Rfam's summary of the family: Transfer RNA (tRNA) molecules are approximately 80 nucleotides in length. Their secondary structure includes four short double-helical elements and three loops (D, anti-codon, and T loops). Further hydrogen bonds mediate the characteristic L-shaped molecular structure. tRNAs have two regions of fundamental functional importance: the anti-codon, which is responsible for specific mRNA codon recognition, and the 3' end, to which the tRNAs corresponding amino acid is attached (by aminoacyl-tRNA synthetases). tRNAs cope with the degeneracy of the genetic code in two manners: having more than one tRNA (with a specific anti-codon) for a particular amino acid; and 'wobble' base-pairing, i.e. permitting non-standard base-pairing at the 3rd anti-codon position. Lineage: Eukaryota; Metazoa; Chordata; Mammalia; Artiodactyla; Bovidae. RNAcentral also lists the same sequence under 1 other name. The record is from Rfam by way of RNAcentral.